CAUCCCUUCCCACUGAGGGACCAGACACAUGCUGUUUAACUCUGUGAAGAGCAUUAGCAGUAUACCACCAGGAUGAAGAAAGAGUAGGGUUUCUGCUAAAUACCACUGCCUGGAUGCAGAAUGUCCUGCUAGGAGUGAAAGGAUGCCAGCACCCUGGGUAAGCAGGAACCCCGGGAUUAAGAGUCAUGCUCUGCUAACAACGACCUUUGUCACAAAGAAGACCAAAACAAAAGAAAAUUAUGUCCAACCUCGUGUAUCUAACUCUCCCACCAGCCACCUAGCAUCUUCUGAUAGGCAAUCAUGAAAAGGGAUCUAUGAACACAGUUCCAUUAAAUGGGUUUUAUUGAAGUA
This is a long non-coding RNA of Mastomys coucha (southern multimammate mouse), 351 nucleotides long. RefSeq lists it as uncharacterized. NCBI's taxonomy places the organism in Eukaryota, Metazoa, Chordata, Mammalia, Rodentia, Muridae. The record is from RefSeq and is a predicted model, not a curated record. The transcript is spliced from 2 exons.